AUUGAACGCUGGCGGCAUGCUUUACACAUGCAAGUCGAACGGCAGCGCGGGCUUCGGCCUGGCGGCGAGUGGCGAACGGGUGAGUAAUACAUCGGAACGUGCCCAGUAGUGGGGGAUAGCUCGGCGAAAGCCGGAUUAAUACCGCAUACGACCUGAGGGUGAAAGCGGGGGAUCUUCGGACCUUGCGCCAUUGGAGCGGCCGAUGGCGGAUUAGCUAGUUGGUGGGGUAAAGGCCUACCAAGGCGACGAUCUGUAGCUGGUCUGAGAGGACGACCAGCCACACUGGAACUGAGACACGGCCCAGACUCCUACGGGAGGCAGCAGUGGGGAAUUUUGGACAAUGGGCGAAAGCCUGAUCCAGCAAUGCCGCGUGUGUGAUGAAGGCCUUCGGGUUGUAAAGCACUUUUGGCGGGAAAGAAAAGGACUGUGCCAAUACCACGGUUCGAUGACGGUACCCGCAGAAUAAGCACCGGCUAACUACGUG
This 484-nucleotide ribosomal RNA is filed under the name uncultured bacterium. RNAcentral describes it as "partial 16S ribosomal RNA". It matches the Rfam family "Bacterial small subunit ribosomal RNA", at positions 29 to 507 of the family's 1533-position model. The record is from RNAcentral.